UAGAUUGAAGCCCGCUGGUUUGGGUUUUUAGUUGUUAACUAAAGGUUUACGGGGUCAAGGCCCGUCGAUCUAGA
RNAcentral lists this transfer RNA (74 nucleotides) under Mokopirirakau galaxias. Its description in RNAcentral is "tRNA-Asn". Lineage: Eukaryota; Metazoa; Chordata; Lepidosauria; Squamata; Diplodactylidae. The record is from RNAcentral.